This 468-nucleotide ribosomal RNA is filed under the name uncultured bacterium. Its description in RNAcentral is "partial 16S ribosomal RNA". It matches the Rfam family "Bacterial small subunit ribosomal RNA", at positions 28 to 507 of the family's 1533-position model. The record is from RNAcentral.
GACGAACGCUGGCGGUGUGCUUAACACAUGCAAGUCGAACGGAAAGGCCCUGCUUUUGUGGGGUGCUCGAGUGGCGAACGGGUGAGUAACACGUGAGUAACCUGCCCUUGACUUUGGGAUAACUUCAGGAAACUGGGGCUAAUACCGGAUAGGAGCUCCUGCUGCAUGGUGGGGGUUGGAAAGUUUCGGCGGUUGGGGAUGGACUCGCGGCUUAUCAGCUUGUUGGUGGGGUAGUGGCUUACCAAGGCUUUGACGGGUAGCCGGCCUGAGAGGGUGACCGGCCACAUUGGGACUGAGAUACGGCCCAGACUCCUACGGGAGGCAGCAGUGGGGAAUAUUGCACAAUGGGCGGAAGCCUGAUGCAGCAACGCCGCGUGCAGGAUGACGGCCUUCGGGUUGUAAACCGCUUUCGCCUGUGACGAAGCGUGAGUGACGGUAAUGGGUAAAGAAGCACCGGCUAACUACGCG